Molecule: ribosomal RNA, 253 nt
Filed under: uncultured bacterium
Lineage: Bacteria
Description: partial 16S ribosomal RNA
Rfam family: Bacterial small subunit ribosomal RNA
Source: RNAcentral
UACGUAGGGUGCGAGCGUUAAUCGGAAUUACUGGGCGUAAAGCGUGCGCAGGCGGUUUUGUAAGCCAGAUGUGAAAUCCCCGGGCUCAACCUGGGAAUGGCAUUUGGGACUGCAAGGCUUGGGUGCGGCAGAGGGGACUGGAAUUCCUGGUGUAGCAGUGAAAUGCGUAGAUAUCAGGAGGAAUACCGAUGGCGAAGGCAGGUCUCUGGGCUGACACUGACGCUCAGGCGCGAAAGCGUGGGGAGCAAACAGG